RNAcentral lists this small RNA (295 nucleotides) under Citrobacter youngae. Its description in RNAcentral is "ryfA RNA". It matches the Rfam family "ryfA RNA". From Rfam's summary of the family: This family consists of a number of bacterial RNA genes of 305 bases in length. The ryfA RNA gene is present in E. coli, Shigella flexneri and Salmonella species where it is found between the ydaN and dbpA genes. Lineage: Bacteria; Pseudomonadati; Pseudomonadota; Gammaproteobacteria; Enterobacterales; Enterobacteriaceae. The record is from RNAcentral.
CGGCCCUUUCCGCUGUCUCGCAAACAGGCACUGGCUUUAGGGAAGGUCAUUGUAUGGCCGUAUACGCAGGUGCACCUCAGCGCUUGCUAUCACGGCAUGAUCGCCAGUGGUGCUGUCGUGAUGCGGUCUUCGCAUGGACCGCGCAAUGAAGAUACGGUACUUCUGUAUCGUGCUUGUUGUAUCUGGAACGUUGUGUCUUCACGGGGAUCGGAGUUACUCAGGUAAUUCUGUACGCGUGACGCUCAGCGCCCAGGGCAAGUAAGCCAGGUAGCCGCCCUAUGGGGCGGCUUUCCUU